UACGAAGGGGGCUAGCGUUGCUCGGAAUCACUGGGCGUAAAGCGCACGUAGGCGGCUUUGUAAGUUAGAGGUGAAAGCCCGGGGCUCAACUCCGGAAUUGCCUUUAAGACUGCAUCGCUUGAAUCCAGGAGAGGUGAGUGGAAUUCCGAGUGUAGAGGUGAAAUUCGUAGAUAUUCGGAAGAACACCAGUGGCGAAGGCGGCUCACUGGACUGGUAUUGACGCUGAGGUGCGAAAGCGUGGGGAGCAAACAGG
Molecule: ribosomal RNA, 253 nt
Filed under: uncultured bacterium
Lineage: Bacteria
Description: partial 16S ribosomal RNA
Rfam family: Bacterial small subunit ribosomal RNA
Source: RNAcentral